AUGGUUUCUGGCCGUUCUCUGCUCGCUGUGAUCUUCAUUUCUAUUCAGGGAUCCUGUGGAGAGAUUGUGGUGACCCAAUCUCCAGAUUAUAUGUCUGUGUCCCCAGGAGAUACAGUCACCAUGUCAUGUACAGCCAGUGGAAAUAUAGGCUGGAACUUAGCCUGGUACCAACAGAAACCGGGGAAAUCUCCAAAACUUCUUAUCAAAGCAGGAGAUGAACGAUUCACAGGAAUCCCAGAGAGGUUCAGUGGAUCUAGAUCAGGAACUAAUUACAAAUUAACAAUAACACAAGUGACAGUAGAUGAUAUAGCAGAUUAUUACUGUCAGCAGUAUAGCAGUUUACCUCUCACACACUGA
This is a non-coding RNA of Hyla sarda, 357 nucleotides long. The record is from the annotation of a RefSeq genome assembly. NCBI's taxonomy places the organism in Eukaryota, Metazoa, Chordata, Amphibia, Anura, Hylidae.